UACAGAGGUCCCGAGCGUUGUUCGGAUUCAUUGGGCGUAAAGGGUGCGUAGGCGGCGGGGUAAGUCUGAUGUGAAAUCCCGGAGCUCAACUCCGGAACUGCAUUGGAUACUGCCUUGCUUGAGUACUGGAGAGGGAACUGGAAUUUACGGUGUAGCAGUGAAAUGCGUAGAGAUGUGGAGGAACACCGAUGGCGAAGGCAGCCCCCUGGGUCAAAACUGACGCUCAUGCACGAAAGCGUGGGGAGCAAACAGG
Molecule: ribosomal RNA, 253 nt
Filed under: uncultured prokaryote
Description: partial 16S ribosomal RNA
Rfam family: Bacterial small subunit ribosomal RNA
Source: RNAcentral